Molecule: long non-coding RNA, 1108 nt
Filed under: Cyanistes caeruleus (blue tit)
Lineage: Eukaryota; Metazoa; Chordata; Aves; Passeriformes; Paridae
Description: lncRNA (ENSCCEG00000006986.1)
Source: RNAcentral
GGCAGGGGCAGGUCAGCCUUGAGGAAAGUUUAGUGUUUUGGCUAAGUGUCAUUCCUCUGCCCCGCUCCAGUCUAACCCAUGGAGCUUUCCCUGACUAUCUGUCUUGGAGUAUUUUAGGAAGCUGUCAUUGUGGUAUUGAAGUGCCACUUGUUUAGUGCAGUUGGGAUGAGACAGAGCUGAAGUUCUCUAUUGAUCUGCAGAAGAAAAAUAGCCUCAGCAGCAGGGGGUAUAGCAUUGCUGGCAGCAGCACAGCCUGCCUGGGAGGAGGUGGGGAUGCUGAGAACCUGGCUCCUCACCCCUGUGGAUGCACACACGCCAGAGAGGACCUGGCCAAGGGCAAGACAGAUUUGAAACAGGAAUUACUGAGCUCUGAGUCUGUUUUUGUAUAGCUCUUGGUAUCACGGAGAGCAGAUUAGCUGUCAGCACCUCAGUAUGGAUGCACCAGGGUCUGCCAGUCCUGCCCUGCCAUUCCCCCUCAGCCAUCAAGCCUUUCUCUCUGGUGGUGGCAAAGUCUACUGUUGUUAAUUCACAAUGGAAGUCAAGUGACAAUGGAUCUUACCUACCUUGUGAGCUACACGAGAUUCAGCUGGAAAUUAUGACUUAGAAAUAAAGCUUCAUAUCUCCUUCUGUCUAACAACCUGAUGUCUAGUGCUGCUCUCCUCCUCAGAGCAGCUUGACAACAAAGGCAAAACCUGGCCAAGAUGCAGGUUCAUCUUUUGGAAACUGUGAAACUCCUGCAAAGUGUACAUCCUUUGCAGGAUCUACUCCUGUCUCUCCUGUCUGCCAGCUGCAAAGAAGUUCAGGAGUGGCCUCCUGAGGGAUCUGCUGUGAGACAGAUGGAAUUUCAUCAUUACGAGUGCCAUAAACCAUCACUGAUUGCUGGUGGAGAACUUCACCUGGCCCAGAGCAGCACUGUCGGCAGCAGCAGUGGAGGAAACUGAAAGGCUGAAAAGAUGGGUAUUUAUAAAUACCCGAAUCAACUGAGCUGGCCAACCAUAAAAUGGAAAAACUCAAUGAAAGAGCAGCUCAUUUUAUAGCAAAAUUUGCAUGUGAGCUAGCCCAGAGUCAUUUAUGCUUCAAGAUGGGAUGUGCAGACAAAAAAAGCAAU